This 250-nucleotide ribosomal RNA is filed under the name uncultured bacterium. RNAcentral's name for it is "partial 16S ribosomal RNA". It matches the Rfam family "Bacterial small subunit ribosomal RNA", at positions 29 to 272 of the family's 1533-position model. The record is from RNAcentral.
AACGAACGCUGGCGGCGUGGAUAAGACAUGCAAGUCGAACGCGAUUUUCCCGGUUAGCAAUAACUGGGAAAAUUGAGUGGCGAAUGGGUGCGUAACACGUGGGAAUUUACCCGGAAGUGGGGGAUAGCUCGUCGAAAGGCGAAUUAAUACCGCAUGUGCCCGUGAGGGCAAAGUGGGGGACCGCAAGGCCUCACGCUACCGGAGGAGCCCGCGUCCUAUCAGCUAGUUGGCGGGGUAACGGCCCACCAAG